RNAcentral lists this ribosomal RNA (393 nucleotides) under uncultured bacterium. Its description in RNAcentral is "partial 16S ribosomal RNA". It matches the Rfam family "Bacterial small subunit ribosomal RNA", at positions 523 to 918 of the family's 1533-position model. The record is from RNAcentral.
AUACGGAGGAUCCGAGCGUUAUCCGGAUUUAUUGGGUUUAAAGGGAGCGCAGGUGGGUUGUUAAGUCAGUUGUGAAAGUUUGCGGCUCAACCGUAAAAUUGCAGUUGAAACUGGCAGUCUUGAGUACAGUAGAGGAGGGCGGAAUUCGUGGUGUAGCGGUGAAAUGCUUAGAUAUGAGGAAGAACUCCGAUUGCGAAGGCAGCCCACUAGACUGUUACUGACACUGAUGCUCGAAAGGGUGGGUAUCAAACAGGAUUAGAUACCCUGGUAGUCCACACAGUAAACGAUGAAUACUCGCUGUUUGCGAUAUACAGUAAGCGGCCAAGCGAAAGCAUUAAGUAUUCCACCUGGGGAGUACGCCGGCAACGGUGAAACUUAAAGGAAUUGACGGGG